This is a long non-coding RNA of Rhagoletis pomonella (apple maggot), 215 nucleotides long. RefSeq lists it as uncharacterized. The record is from RefSeq and is a predicted model, not a curated record. The transcript has 2 exons. Lineage: Eukaryota; Metazoa; Arthropoda; Insecta; Diptera; Tephritidae.
AUCAGUGCUUUCACGCAAUAACAAGACAUAGCUUAUCAGCAGUUAGUACCCUGUUGUAGUAGAAUCUGAAUGACUUUGGUGCGGUCAAUGAGGUUUACAAGAAAGUCUUCUCCAAAGAUUUCCCCGCACGCGUCUGUAUUCAAGCGGCCCGCUUGCCCCUGGAUGCUUUGGUGGAAAUUGAGAGCAUCGCUUUGACCGGUGAUGUGGAGACUAUA